CUUUCCUUUUCAGUCGUCUGACA
Molecule: microRNA, 23 nt
Filed under: Salicornia europaea (common glasswort)
Lineage: Eukaryota; Viridiplantae; Streptophyta; Magnoliopsida; Caryophyllales; Amaranthaceae
Description: seu-miR11042
Source: miRBase by way of RNAcentral